RNAcentral lists this ribosomal RNA (441 nucleotides) under uncultured bacterium. RNAcentral describes it as "partial 16S ribosomal RNA". It matches the Rfam family "Bacterial small subunit ribosomal RNA", at positions 338 to 795 of the family's 1533-position model. The record is from RNAcentral.
CCUACGGGUAGCAGCAGUGAGGGAUAUUGCACAAUGGGCGGAAGACUGAACCAGCGACGCAGCGUGCAUGAUGACGUACCUCGGGAUGUAAAGCUCUUUUGACAGGGAAGAAUAUAGCCGGUACCUGACUAAGAAGCACCGGCUAACUACGUGCCAGCAGCCGAGUUAAUACGUAGGGGCCGCGCGUUAGCCGGAUUCACUGGGUGUAAAGGGAGCGUAGGCGGCAAGGCAAGCCUGGAGUGAAAUCUCGUGGCCCAACCCCGGGACUGCUGUGGGAACUGUCCUGCUGGAGUGCGGGAGGGGCAGGCGGAAUUCGUGGUGUAGCGGUGAAAUGCGUAGAUAUCAGGAGGAACACCGACGGCGAAGGCAGCCUGCGGGAGCGCGACUGACGUUGAGGCUCGAAGGCGUGGGUAGCGAACAGGAUUAGAUACCCUGGUAGUC